This is a long non-coding RNA of Parus major (Great Tit), 2354 nucleotides long. RefSeq lists it as uncharacterized. The record is from RefSeq and is a predicted model, not a curated record. Lineage: Eukaryota; Metazoa; Chordata; Aves; Passeriformes; Paridae. The transcript is spliced from 2 exons.
CUCCCUCCUCUUCCUCCCGCUCCCGCCGCGGCUGCUCCCAGCUCCCCCCCGCAGCGGCCCCCGGGCGCUCCCCCGGCUCACACCCCGCGAUCUCCGAUCCGGGCUGCACAUGCAAUUGGCUGAGCAAGGAAAGGCACUGCCCGGCCGCCGGCCAUCGCCCAGCCGGGAAAUGAGCGCGAUGGGCGGCCGCGGAGCCCUGCCCGGCCCUGCCGAUUCCCUGCCGGAGCCUGGAGCCGAGCCCGGGAUCGGGACACCUGGCCGAGGAGGAUGGUUUUAAGUGUGAUUUGGCAUCCACAAGGGAAAUUUCACUUCGGAGUGUUAAAACUGACUUUUCUGCUCCAAGAAGUCUGGUGAUGCUGUCGGUGAGACGGGGAUGGGGAGAGGGCUGGAGGGCAACAUCUCUGUGUCCCCAGAGAUUAUCUCAGAUAUGAAACAACCGUCUCUCAAGUUUGUCUGGAGGGCCUGAUUUAUCUUUCUGGUGCCAUUAAUAAUGGAACAAAACCACAUUAACGAUUGCAUCAACAGCCAGAUAGGAGCCAGAAAGCUCCUUUUGCUCUCUAAUAUGCUGCAUGAGUACACUGAAGUGCUUUAUACAGAGAGUAUUUUGCUUUUUUUUUUUUCUCACCCUUUUGCAUUGAUGUCUUUUUUGGACUUGAUAAACUGCUUGACCUUGUUUUUGCUGAAGAAAAGAUAAAAACCACUGGAGUUAAAUAUUCAAUGAGAUUACAGACCUGAGAUAGCCCUUUAGAGCUAAUAUCAUUCUGCAAGAAACCUGAAGAAAUGUUAACAGCGACUGCAGGACGUUACAUCUGCCUGGUUAGAUGAGCUGCAGAGGCUACCCACCAUUGGUUUUGGCUGAUGAUGUGGUGAGCUGGCAAAAGACAGCAGGAGAGAGCUGCAGGCUUUCAAACCAGCAAAGGAAUGAGCACCUGGCGCAGGAGUAGUCAAAAAAUAGGUAACAUUAUGCUGGCCCCUCCUCUUUCACUUGAGGUUAGUCAUCUGGGUUUAGUUUAUUCUGAUCUUCUGGAAGUGAGAAGAACAUUUGUUGUGAGGUCUUGGUGUAUAAAAACAUUCCUUCCAUUUGUAUAAGAUGAAAAAGGAUUUUUCAGCAUCUGAAGUAGAACCUGGUCAAAUCUGCCUUUGCAUGUCAGUGGUUUCUUUUUACCUUUUGUUUUUUUCUGCAGAAGCAUGGUACAAAAAGCCCCUUUCUUACCUCAAAUCAAUCAAUAGCUGUAUGAAGAAAGACAACGGGCAGUUCUGGUCUGUCAACAUUCAGCCACUUUUUAAGCUAUCUAGACUGCCUAUAUCUUCUUGUGGGUUUGGCCUGUGGGUUUGCAGGUUAGGGAAAUAGAAAGAAAAAAUCAAAUGAUGGUGCAGAAAUGUUUAUCUGAAAAUGCACAGAUGUUUAGUAGAAGGGAGACAUUUGGAGACAGCUUUUGUGAAGUGGGAGGUGCUCAAAGCACACCUUUGAGUGGGGAUGGCUGACAUUCGCCCAUGGGAUGCUGUAGUGGCAGUGAAUAUCUUCCAAGACAAUACAUCCUUCCUCUGUAUUCAUAAAGAGUGGAAUAUCCCCAUGUUCUUUCAAUGGGAAACCAAAGCACAAAGUUGUUUUUUUUUCCCUAGGAAGUUUAUAUCAAAACAGACAAAAUAAAUCCUCACUAUCUUCAGUCUCUAAAGUGGUCUUUAUCCUGCCUCUCUGAUCAACCUGCUCUAGUAUUUCGCCACCUUCACUGUAAAAAGUUUCUUCCUUAUAUCAAAUCCAAAUUGAAUCUCCUCCAAUUUAAAUUAACCAGUACUCCCUUUUCCUUUCACUACAGCUUUCCUCACUCUAUCUUUACGCACCUGAGCAGUGUCCUUACACUCUUCCAGGAUAUCUGUUCCUGCUCCACUGCCUGUGCAUUUUCUUCUUGCCCUUUAGUUUCUCUAGCAGAUCUUGACUCAGAUGUGAUGGUCUCUUGUCUUCCUUUUCUUAUAGAUUUCUUAUCUUCAUAUUUUCUUUAAGAUUUCUUAUACCUGGGGAUUGAGAGCUUUUAUGCUCUAUGAAAAAUGUCCUUUAAUGUCUCUCAUCUCUCUUCUGCUCCCUUGCCAGUGAGGGCAUUUUUCCAUGGGGGUUUAUUGACUAACUCUUUGAAGGAAUGGAAGGGUUUUUUCCCCUAAAAUUCAGGGCCCUGAUUUUAUUCUUCGCAUGACCUUUAUUCCUCAGGAUGUGAACUCCACUAGUGCAUUAUCACUGCAGCCCAGGCUGCCUCCAAUCUUGAUGUCACUGUUUAACUCAACUUGUGUUGUGGUGGUAAAAAUAAAGUAAAAUAAUAAUGAAAUUCCAAGUAAAUAAAAUAAUUAUGUUCCACUUUGGA